AUGGUGGGCGUGCUGCUCCUCCUCCUCCUCCACAUACCGGCGUCGGCGUCGGCGAUCGGCCACGUCUGCGGCAGCGCUGGUAACUACACGGCCAAAAGCACCUACCCGUCCAGCCUCGCCGUGCUCAAGGCUACCUUCCCCGGCAACGCCUCCUCCUCCCCGCAGCUCUUCGCCACCGCCACCGCCGGCGUGGUGCGCGCGCUCGCGCUCUGCCGCCACGACACCACAAACCUCACCGCGUGCAGAGAGUGCGUCGCCUCCUCGUUCAAGUACGCGCAGAAGAUGUGCCCGAAACACAAGGCCGCCACCGUCUACUACGACUACGACGAGGUAAAUGUCACGCGGCCAGGGUGCCUCCUCGGCUUCGCCGGCGACGGCGGCUUCCUCAGCCCGGGAUCCAGUGUCACCUGGAACGACACGUUCUUCCAGUUCUUUAACCCGGUGCAAAUCCCGGGAAAGGCCGGGGUUGUCACCGCCGCGGUCCGCCAGCUCCUGACGCAGACGGCACGGUACGCGGCCGGCACGGCGAGGAGGUUCGCCACAGGGUCCAUGGACUCAAUUGGCAGCGCCGCACCGACACUCUACUCCCUGGCGCAGUGCACGCCUGACCUGUCCGCCGGCGACUGUCUGGUGUGCCUCCGGCGGCUUGUCAGCACGCUCAACGCUACAAACACAGUGCGCGUGGGCGGACGCAUGUUCGUGCUCCGUUGCAACGUGAGGUUCGAGCCUUUUAUGUUCCACAACGACAAAAGCAUGCAGCGGAUUCCAUCUCCAUCAUCCAUCGCUCCGGCACCGGCACCAGCACCGGCACCAGCACCAGCGCCAGCUCCGGCAAGCAAGAGACAUGGAGUAAAACCUUGGGUAAUUGCCAUUUCGGUAGCUGCUCCUGUAGCGCUAGUUGCACUCUGCUUCAUCGUCUACCAUCGUCGGCGCCUUAGAACCAAGCACACAAAAGGGACAACCUUGCAAGAAACGAGUACUCACGAGUUUCAUGAAAGAGAUGAACUAGUUUGGGAAAUGGAAACAGAGUUGGCUGAGUUUGCAGUAUUUGACUUUCAUCAGAUAUUAGAGGCUACAGUUAACUUCUCCGACGAAAACAAGCUCGGCCAAGGUGGAUUUGGCCCUCUUUACAAGGGCCACUUUCCUGAUGGAAAUGAGAUAGCAGUGAAGAGACUUGAUUCACAUUCAGGACAAGGUUUCAUAGAGUUCAACAAUGAAGUUGAGCUUAUAGCGAAACUUCAACACAGAAAUUUGGUUAGGCUCAUGGGAUGUUGCUCUCAAGGAGAGGAGAAAAUACUGGUCUAUGAAUACUUGCCAAAUAAAAUCUUGGACUUCUUCAUCUUUGAUGAAAAUAGAAAAACACUACUGGAUUGGGACAAACGUCUUGCAAUAAUUGUAGGAAUAGCAGAAGGACUUCUUUACCUACAUAAGCACUCUAGGUUGCGCAUUAUACAUCGAGAUCUUAAGCCAAGCAACAUUCUCUUGGAUAGCGAAAUGAAUGCAAAAAUAUCAGAUUUUGGACUAGCAAAAAUAUUUACCUCAAAUAACACUGAAGCAAAUACUACAAGGAAAGUAGUUGGUACACUUGGCUACAUGGCACCCGAGUAUGCUUCCCACGGUCUCUUCUCUAUCAAAUCAGAUGUCUUCAGCUUCGGUGUUUUAACUCUUGAGAUCCUUAGCGGGAAAAGGAAUUCUCAUGAAUGUGGAAAUUUCAUCAACCUCCUCGGACAUGGAUUGAUCUUCACGAUCAAGUUGAAUGUCUUUUCGACACCAUCAAUAAACAUACCAGAGUUUGUUGUUGGCCAGGCUUGGCUCUCCUGCUGGUGGGCCACCUCCACCUGCUCCGUGAAAACCCGCUCCAAUCCACGCUCGCCGGCAUCGCCCGCGGCACGGCCCCAUUCUCUCCCUCCGCCUGGGCCGCAGCGUCGCAUUGUUGUCACCUUUCUGCAGCUGGCCAAGGAGUGCUUCUCCUUCGAGCUGGACGUCAACUUCGCCAACCGCUUGCGGUUCACCUCGGCAUGGGAGGUCUCGUUCGGCUACAUGGGGUUGUCGGCCGCCAGCUACGACUCGCACUGGCGUGCCAUGCGCCGCAUCGCCACUGUGCACCUCCUCUCGGCGUGCCGCGUGGACCUCAUGUCUGACGCCGCCAUCGACGCGCACGAGUUCAAGAAAGUGGUGGACGAGAUUGUGGCGCUCCUCGGCAUGGCCAACCUGCACGACCACUUGCUGGCACCCCUGUGCUGGCUGGACUUCGGCGGCAUCUGCCGGAGGCUCACCCAGCUGGUGAACCGAAGGAGCGCGCUAAUCUAUGGCCUGAUAGAUGUAGAGAGGCAGCAACGUCGGCAGGAGGACGCCAACGAGCUGCCGGACUCAAAGAGCAUGAUCCGCGUGAUGCUCUUGCUGAAGGAGUCCGAUCUGCAGCAGUACACGGACACUUUCAUCGCCGCUCUAGUGCUGGAGCUUGGGUGA
This 2469-nucleotide ribosomal RNA is filed under the name Triticum aestivum (bread wheat). Its description in RNAcentral is "partial small subunit ribosomal RNA". The record is from RNAcentral. Lineage: Eukaryota; Viridiplantae; Streptophyta; Magnoliopsida; Poales; Poaceae.